RNAcentral lists this non-coding RNA (18 nucleotides) under Rattus norvegicus (Norway rat). Lineage: Eukaryota; Metazoa; Chordata; Mammalia; Rodentia; Muridae. The record is from RNAcentral.
AAUUCCUGUCAAUAAAGA